GACAGAGGCCUCGAGCGUUAGGCGGAAUCACUGGGCUUAAAGCGUGUGUAGGCGGAUCGUUAAGUGCCUUGUGAAAUCCCACGGCUCAACCGUGGAACUGCUGGGCAUACUGGGAGUCUUGAGAGACCUAGGGGCUGUCGGAACAAGUGGUGGAGCGGUGAAAUGCGUAGAUAUCACUUGGAACGCCGAAGGUGAAAACAGACAGCUGGGGGUCUUCUGACGCUGAGACGCGAAAGCCAGGGGAGCAAACGGG
This 253-nucleotide ribosomal RNA is filed under the name uncultured bacterium. RNAcentral's name for it is "partial 16S ribosomal RNA". It matches the Rfam family "Bacterial small subunit ribosomal RNA", at positions 524 to 776 of the family's 1533-position model. The record is from RNAcentral.